GUCAGGAUGGCCGAGCGGUCCAAGGCGCUGCGUUCAGGUCGCAGUCCGGUCUUCCGGGCGUGGGUUCGAAUCCCAUUUCUGACA
This 84-nucleotide transfer RNA is filed under the name Rhipicephalus sanguineus (brown dog tick). RNAcentral describes it as "transfer RNA leucine (anticodon CAG)". It matches the Rfam family "tRNA". Rfam says of the family: Transfer RNA (tRNA) molecules are approximately 80 nucleotides in length. Their secondary structure includes four short double-helical elements and three loops (D, anti-codon, and T loops). The record is from Rfam by way of RNAcentral. Lineage: Eukaryota; Metazoa; Arthropoda; Arachnida; Ixodida; Ixodidae.